Ictalurus punctatus (channel catfish) is the source of this 856-nucleotide long non-coding RNA. The record is from Ensembl. NCBI's taxonomy places the organism in Eukaryota, Metazoa, Chordata, Actinopteri, Siluriformes, Ictaluridae.
GUAACGGGAAGGAAGUCAGUGUCGGUGACUCUGCUAAGCUAGCGGCGUCACGUUACGUGCGUAUGACGUCAUGCGCCGUCGAUUAGGAAGCGGCUUAUACUUCCGGUUAGGAAAAAACCCGCCCGUGUUCUAUUUGAGAUGAUAUAGCUUUCUAAAAUUCAUACACUAGACGGUGGUGCAGAGUGCAGAGUGAGUACAGACGUUAACAAAAAACAAGACAAAACCCCCCCACACAGUCCUUAGUCUUACAGUCCUUGGUCACAGCUGAUCUGGAGCCUAUCCCUCAGGGCACAGUGCAGGGGACACCCUGGACAGGGUGCCAACCCAACGUAGGGCACACAAUCCCACACACAUUCACACACUACGGACAAUUUGGAAAGCCUACACAGGUUUCCACACAGAUCUAGCUGAUUGCUUGAUUGGUCCCGCUUGGCAGGAAAAUGGCCUGUUGAAGUGUGUGAGAAGCAGGUGCAGGACUUGGCCCCAGCAGCCCCAGCCUGUGGCCACGGCACGGAAUAAUAGCAGCAGUGUUUCUACACAGUGGAGCGCUGUCACAACCAGCCACUUGCAAAAAUACGACACGUUUUUCAUAGACGUGUGCGCCGGGAAGGAGAAGCUCAAAGAUGAGAACGGGUUUCCUUUUGAGUCUGGUUCCUCUCAAGGUUUCUCCCUCAUGCUGUCUCAUGGAGUGUUUGCUUGCCACUGUCACCUCUGCAGAAUGGAACGCCGGUGUACUGUGAGAAACUGUAACUUGUUCUGCCUGCUUCGGUAUGAUGGUAAUGACCGCUGAAGAUGACCUCCAGCUGUCUUGCCUCAAAUGAUGACCGAGCUUCAUCCUAGUUGUAGUUUCAGAUCC